GGGCCCGCACAAGCGGUGGAGCAUGUGGUUUAAUUCGAUGCAACGCGAAGAACCUUACCAGGACUUGACAUACUACGAAUUCUUCUGAGAAGAAGAAGUGCCUUCGGGAAUGUAGAUACAGGUGGUGCAUGGCUGUCGUCAGCUCGUGUCGUGAGAUGUUGGUUAAGUCCCGCAACGAGCGCAACCCUUAUUUUAGUUACAGACUUCGACUGAUUUCUAGAAAGACUGCCGGUGACAAACCGGAGGAAGGUAAGGAUGACGUCAAGUCAGCAUGCCCCUUAUAUCCUGGGCUACACACGUGCUACAAUGGCUAAUACAAAGAGUUGCAAACUUGCGAAAGUGCGCUAA
This 348-nucleotide ribosomal RNA is filed under the name uncultured bacterium. RNAcentral's name for it is "bacterial SSU rRNA". It matches the Rfam family "Bacterial small subunit ribosomal RNA", at positions 917 to 1271 of the family's 1533-position model. The record is from RNAcentral.